This 301-nucleotide ribosomal RNA is filed under the name uncultured bacterium. RNAcentral describes it as "partial 16S ribosomal RNA". It matches the Rfam family "Bacterial small subunit ribosomal RNA", at positions 509 to 807 of the family's 1533-position model. The record is from RNAcentral.
CAGCAGCCGCGGUAAUACAGAGGGUGCAAGCGUUAAUCGGAAUUACUGGGCGUAAAGCGCGCGUAGGUGGUUUGUUAAGUUGAAUGUGAAAUCCCCGGGCUCAACCUGGGAACUGCAUCCAAAACUGGCAAGCUAGAGUAGGGCAGAGGGUGGUGGAAUUUCCUGUGUAGCGGUGAAAUGCGUAGAUAUAGGAAGGAACACCAGUGGCGAAGGCGACCACCUGGACUGAUACUGACACUGAGGUGCGAAAGCGUGGGGAGCAAACAGGAUUAGAUACUCGGGUAGUCCCUGUCUCUUAUAC